AGAGUUUGAUCAUGGCUCAGGACGAACGCUGGCGGCGUGCCUAAUACAUGCAAGUCGAGCGAAUCUUUGGGAGCUUGCUCCCAUUGGUUAGCGGCGGACGGGUGAGUAACACGUGGGCAACCUGCCUGUAAGACUGGGAUAACACCGGGAAACCGGUGCUAAUACCGGAUAAUCCUUUUCCUCUCAUGAGGGAAAGCUGAAAGAUGGUUUCGGCUGUCACUUACAGAUGGGCCCGCGGCGCAUUAGCUAGUUGGUGAGGUAACGGCUCACCAAGGCGACGAUGCGUAGCCGACCUGAGAGGGUGAUCGGCCACACUGGGACUGAGACACGGCCCAGACUCCUACGGGAGGCAGCAGUAGGGAAUCUUCCGCAAUGGACGAAAGUCUGACGGAGCAACGCCGCGUGAGCGAUGAAGGCCUUCGGGUCGUAAAGCUCUGUUGUUAGGGAAGAACAAGUACCGGAGUAACUGCCGGUACCUUGACGGUACCUAACCAGAAAGCCACGGCUAACUACGUGCCAGCAGCCGCGGUAAUACGUAGGUGGCAAGCGUUGUCCGGAAUUAUUGGGCGUAAAGCGCGCGCAGGCGGUCCUUUAAGUCUGAUGUGAAAGCCCACGGCUCAACCGUGGAGGGUCAUUGGAAACUGGGGGACUUGAGUGCAGAAGAGGAAAGCGGAAUUCCACGUGUAGCGGUGAAAUGCGUAGAGAUGUGGAGGAACACCAGUGGCGAAGGCGGCUUUCUGGUCUGUAACUGACGCUGAGGCGCGAAAGCGUGGGGAGCAAACAGGAUUAGAUACCCUGGUAGUCCACGCCGUAAACGAUGAGUGCUAAGUGUUAGAGGGUUUCCGCCCUUUAGUGCUGCAGCUAACGCAUUAAGCACUCCGCCUGGGGGAGUACGGCCGCAAGGCUGAAACUCAAAGGAAUUG
This 923-nucleotide ribosomal RNA is filed under the name uncultured bacterium. RNAcentral describes it as "bacterial SSU rRNA". It matches the Rfam family "Bacterial small subunit ribosomal RNA", at positions 8 to 912 of the family's 1533-position model. The record is from RNAcentral.